Molecule: transfer RNA, 96 nt
Filed under: Deltaproteobacteria bacterium
Lineage: Bacteria; Pseudomonadati; Myxococcota; Myxococcia
Description: tRNA-Sec
Source: RNAcentral
GGAGAAAGGUCGUUUUGACGACUCCUCGGGCUUCAAAACCGCGAGUGGUGCUGUAGAACAGUGCUGGGUGGGUUCGAUUCCCACGUACCUCCGCCA